CGUUCCCGGGUCUUGUACACACCGCCCGUCACACCAUGGGAGCCGGGUUUUACCAGAAGUAGGUAGCUUAACCGCAAGGAGGGCGCUUACCACGGUAGGAUUCGUGACUGGGGUG
This 115-nucleotide ribosomal RNA is filed under the name uncultured bacterium. Its description in RNAcentral is "partial 16S ribosomal RNA". It matches the Rfam family "Bacterial small subunit ribosomal RNA", at positions 1369 to 1482 of the family's 1533-position model. The record is from RNAcentral.